GAAAAAAUAAAAUCAUUAUUUAAUCAACAGUGAGCUAAUCUGGUAUGGCACAGGAAAGUUUUUGAAUAUUAACAAUAGGUUAAUUCUGUAAUUUAAAAUAGAUGACAAUGCUAUCGCAACCACCACCAUGUUUUUAACAUCUGUAUGCAUAAUUUUUCAAGGAAGAAAGAACCUUGAAGCAUCCCGUGGCCUUAAUCUCUUAGAAAUCCUAAGGGAUGCUUGAGCCAAUUAAUAAAGAGCCCCUUCACUUGAAGUAUUUGAAAGCCAACAUUUGUGGUGAACAGGCAACAUCAGCUAAUCACAUAUUAAGGAUGAUUCCUUUGUUCACUGUGUGAAAGUGGUUUGUAGCAGACAUUCUUAUAUUCCCAUACUCAAUAUUUAUUUUCUCAAAGCCAAACUAAUUCCAAGAGCUAAUGUGACCUUUCAAUAGUAUUUUUUGCCCAUCUCUUAGAAAACAAUUUAAGGGGUUUCACUAUAUUAGGGGGAUUUUCCAUUUUUUCCUACUCUUCAAAAGAUUUGUCUUUCAUCUUCUUUUUCUUUCUCUCCAGCUACAAAAUGUGCUCAUUACGGGCCUAUCUGCCAGCAACAAAAGGGAGGAGACUCCUAUUUCAGCAGUUAGAAGAUGGGAAGCAUUCAACCAGCCACCUAUUCUGGAAGAUACUAUUGGAAAGGGCACUUGACAAUGUUCUUCCUGGAUUCUCAGAUUUCAAAUACCUGGGGAAAGAACCUGAUUGGCUCUGCUAGUCAGGUGUCAUCCAUACCUGAAAGAAUCAGCCCUAUGUGGGGCUGUCCUGGAGAAGCAGGAAGACUGUGCUAGGUUGGCACUCCAGAAAGUUCCGGCUCAGGAAACUUAAGCCAAGUACACAUCACUCAAAGCCACAUGAUUUUCAGGAAAAGGCCGGAGUUGAGGGUAAGCAUCUAACUUCCACAGAAGGAAGAAGUCUAUUUCUUGUUGAAUUCAAUCAGACUACCUACCAUGUUUUGUUUCUUUGGUGGCUUUUUGGCAAAAAAAAAAAAAAAAAAGCAUUAUUAAGCAUAAAUCUUCAUUUUGGUGUCCAGGCUACACCCUCAUGGUCUCAAUAUUUAGUACCUCAUGUCC
RNAcentral lists this long non-coding RNA (1099 nucleotides) under Sus scrofa (pig). RNAcentral's name for it is "lncRNA (ENSSSCG00025062195.1)". The record is from RNAcentral. Lineage: Eukaryota; Metazoa; Chordata; Mammalia; Artiodactyla; Suidae.